UACAGAGGGGGCAAGCGUUGUUCGGAAUUACUGGGCGUAAAGGGCGCGUAGGCGGCCUUCUAAGUCGAACGUGAAAUCCCCGGGCUCAACCCGGGAACUGCGUCCGAGACUGAAAGGCUUGAAUCCGGGAGAGGGAUGUGGAAUUCCAGGUGUAGCGGUGAAAUGCGUAGAUAUUGGGAAGAACACCGGUGGCGAAGGCGGCUAUCUGGACCGACAUUGACGCUGAGGCGCGAAAGCGUGGGGAGCAAACAGG
RNAcentral lists this ribosomal RNA (253 nucleotides) under uncultured bacterium. Its description in RNAcentral is "partial 16S ribosomal RNA". It matches the Rfam family "Bacterial small subunit ribosomal RNA", at positions 524 to 776 of the family's 1533-position model. The record is from RNAcentral.